CCUUCUCCCUCUCUCUAAACAUCCUUUUUUUUUUUUUUUUUCCAAACUCGAAGAUCUAUUCCCUUCUCCACAAGAAAAAAAAAAAAAAAAAUAGAGGGAUCUUUUCUCUUCUUGGUUUAUCCACGUCUUCACUAUUAGCCAUCAGAGGAUGUUUGAGAUAUUGAAAGAUUAUUGAGCGCAGAAGAAGCUUGAAGUCACAAGCCAUAGGUUUGAUUCAGAUAUGCUUGAAAUGGCAAGCCAUAGGAUUUUGGAGGAAGUUGUCGUUCGCUCGAGUGGGUUAAGAUCCGUUGAUUAUUUAUUUUGUUGCCCUCUUUUAUAAAACAGUAUGAUUUGUUUAAGUUUUGUCCAAUCAAUACAUGGUGAUCGGUUGAUAAACACUGGAGCAAUUAUAUGGUUUAAGCAAGAGUUAUUGGUCUCAGAGAUGUAACAUCAUAGCAACAUAGAGAAAUUCUAGUUCCAAGCUGUUCUAUUCCAGAUGGAACACAUAUAUAAGAAGAAGAUUACUUGGAGGCAAAACGAUUACUGAAGCGUUCCCGUCGUCCUAUCAUUAAGAGCAUUCAUAUGGAACCAACUUCUAUCCCUGAGUUGGUGAAGAAUGAUAAAAGUUCAAACCAUACUUGUCCAUAUAUAGGACUUAAAGGUGGAGGAUGUCCAAUUGGAUCAGUUCCUAUUUGAAGAAUUCAAAUUGAAGAUUAAGUUCCCCUUUUGUUAUAUCUUUUGGAAGGAAAGAUACCUCAUCACAACAUCGGUGGGCUGUGGUAAAAGUGCUUGGAGAAUUUUAUGGAACCAGAGGAGUCCUUAAUGUUUGGAAUCCUAAAGUCAAUUCUCCUGAUCAAUUUUGCAUUUCUCAGUUAUGGAUUUUGUCAAUGGGGAGGAUGAGACCAUUGAAGCAGGGUGGCAAGAUGCAAAGACAAGCAAUUGGUGGCUAUACUAUCAGGAAGAAAUUGUAAGUUAUUGGCCAAGCACUUUGUACAAAGGUUUAAGGAGCGGUGCAACAACUAGGGUUGACUGGGGAGGUGAAGUUGUGAACCUGGACACCAAUAAUGGAAAGUGGCCUCCAAUGGGUUGUGGUAAUUUCCCUGAUAAAAAUGGAGCAAACUAUGGCAAGAGUUGUUACAUUUCGAACCUCUCGAUUUUCCAGAAAGACUCCUCCUGGAUUGACUAUCCUCUUAAAACUGAUUUUUUUAAGUAAACGUGAGUGUUAUGACAUAGUCGACUAUGGCUCGAUUAAUACUUAACGUAGAAGAGUUAUCUCCUACGACAGACCUGGUGGUUCAUGUUAAUUACAUGUAUUUCUUUCUACAACUGAUUUCAAAUAUAU
Long non-coding RNA from Macadamia integrifolia, 1321 nucleotides. RefSeq lists it as uncharacterized. The record is from RefSeq and is a predicted model, not a curated record. Lineage: Eukaryota; Viridiplantae; Streptophyta; Magnoliopsida; Proteales; Proteaceae. The transcript has 8 exons.